Molecule: long non-coding RNA, 283 nt
Filed under: Parus major (Great Tit)
Lineage: Eukaryota; Metazoa; Chordata; Aves; Passeriformes; Paridae
Description: lncRNA (ENSPMJG00000019313.1)
Source: RNAcentral
UUGCUUCUAGGCCCAGUAAAAAGACUAAGAAGAGACCCAUAUAAUUUGAAGUUCACAAAGACAGCAACCAACAAACAAGCAGAAUUAUAGAUGAAGAACUGUUCUGUGGCUUUGCUGAUGUUGCACAUGAAAUGUGUUUGCUGAAUGCAUGAGCAUCAUCUGAGAACAUUACAAUGUCUGGGCGCUGGGAUGUGUCACCAUUGAUCGCGUUAUAGCUGCACUGGUUUUGAAAAGUAAAAAAUGCUUUCUGAUUAUUUUGCCUUAACUGUCUUGAAGAAUGUUG